GGGCAGAGUGACUGUGAGCAAAACAAGAAGAGCUGUGUCACCAAGUUCCAUAAAAUCUGGGAGCCCAAGCAGCAUAUUUGUGGGAUUUGUCUGACAGAACGCAAUGGAAACAGAGCGUGGCAUUCGCUCCAUCUCCCCCAGAUUGUUCCAGAACAGUGCAAGUAGAGCCACCUCGUUCUUUUUUACUGCUGCAUAGAUUUCCAUUUCAGAUGUUCCAUAAGUUUCUGCUUCCAUCAGCAAUGUAAGGAAGUGCCCAAUUCCUCCUACCCCCACAUUACUGAGAAUCUUAUCAAAUUUUUUGAUCUUUUCUGAUUGGCUCUCCAAUCCUGAAGUCAAAAUGGAAUGCAUCUCUGCUCUUCCUCUGGGCAUCAUCUAAUUUUUUUGUUCUUGUUUUCCUUGUGCUGGAAUCUACAACACCCUCUCCUAGCCCCUCAACCAGCCUUUCUUCUGCAGAGCAACUUAGUUCUAAUUAGCAACUACAAACCUAUUCACCUACAUCCAAGAGUUCAGUAGUGUCUUUUAAGUAUGUAACAGGCAAUUCUUUUACAUUUUAUUGAGAUGACUACUUUAAAAAAAUUGGUUGCUACCCAGAACUGUUUAGAACAUUGCUUGCUUUAGGUAAGUGAGUGAAGCAAGAUGUGAUAACAUAGGGCUGGGGGACUAGAGUUGGGUAAUAUGGUAGCACAUGAUUUUGUUACUUGAGAUUGCCUGUAAUUGUAGACAUCAGUGAGCAGGGUGAUAUGAACCUCACAGGGGCUCUUGAAGUUCUGCUUCUUCCCUAUUCCUUAAUGCAAUACAAUAUUUAGGUUCAUCUUUUCAAUUUUCCUGGAGAAAUUAAAUACUGUGCCAUAAUAAAAAAAUAAGUAAUUUGAAAGUAAAGGAAGGGCAUGAAUGGAGAGAAGGCAGGAAAACAUUCUAGGUUGGAAAAAAUGGCAGAAGUAAUGUUGGGACAUUGGAGUGAUGGUGGAGGUGGGAAUAGAGUCUAGGAUCUCUUCAUCCCAUACUAUGCAUCUAUCUUCACAAAAUUAGUAUGGCCAAAUAUUAAAUCAGCUCAUUUCUGGUUGGGAAAAGUAGGGUGAAUGUGCCUUUCUAGCUGUCCUUGAGAUGUAAAUCUCCUGUAACAUAGCUUCCCUAGUGGUCACCUCAAAGGCUUUGUUCUCUCCAGGAUAGAUGCUACAGAGUGGGACAGUACUUGGUGUGUGUGUAUCUCAAUUUUUUUUUAACAUGACAAAUUGAACUAGGGGCAAGAGAAGGAUAGACAGAGGAGCCUAUGAUGGGGUGGUGGAUACUAAAUAUUUUCCAGGUGUAAGGAGCAGAGGAGGAAAAGGGAGACUGGGUAACCCUUUUUCAGACCAUCAUUUAGUCCAUUUUAUGUUGCAAAUAUUAGCAAACCUACUCCAGCUUUCUUAAACAGUAGGGUUUUCAUUACAACAUAGUUAAGAGAGUAGGCUUAGGAGUAAGAUUGCUUGAUCCUGAGUAAGUUACUUAAUCUUGGUGUCUCAGUUUCUUCAUUCCAGUUAAGUAAAUAUAUUUAAAUUAAAUUAUAUUAGUUAGUAAAUGUAAAGCACACAGAAAAGUGUUUGGCUUCUGGUGAGCUUUCAAUAAGUGUUAACUAUUAUUUGUUAUUAUUAUUUUAACAAAACCAACCUCCAAAACCUAUGAAGUCAGUUUACAGAAAGCCACCAGGAAAAGGGAAAUAAGAAGAUUCUUUACUUUGCUGUCAUUUGAUACACUUAGCAUUUUAAAUGACUAUAUGUACAAUAUUAACCAUGCCUUUCCACAAAACUAUGUGUGUGCAUAUGAAUUACAGGGCUUUCAUUUGAAACUGAACUAUCUGUGUUUGUAGUCACUUUAAUCAUACAACAAACCUACAAAAUAUUUAAGCAUAAAUUAUCAUGAUGACUAAAUAUGGAAAAGCUUCUGUUACCAAAACCUGCACCCAAAUUGACUGCACAGGAUGGGUAAUUGGAUGGUGGUGUAAAGAAUGCUCAUGAGGACUAGGCUGCUGCUAAUUAGAUCUUCUAUGCUAUUUAAAUGUUCUCCAAGCUUCAGGGAGUGCCCUGAAGGCAGUUGGACAUUAGCCUUGUGGUUUUUGAGGGUAACCUACAGUUUGUCAGCACAGGGGUGGAGGUGAGCACCAUGGGACUUUUCCCAGGCUGCUGGUUAACAUACUGUGGUUUCAAUCCUUUAAGCCAAUAAAUGGAGGAGAGAGAAAGAAGGCAGACUGAAAUUAGAGGAAAAGAGACAAAGAAAGGAAAAGUGGAAGUAAGAAUAAUAUUCAUGAAAUGUCUUCUUUGGGCCAGAUAUUUUUUUAGGAACUUUCACAUAUUGUGCUUACAUCAACUCUGUGGGAAAUGUAUGAUUAUACUAUCCUCAUUUGUAACAGACAUUGUUGGGUGCCUAUAUAACAUAUAACAGCUAUUUUUCUUCAUUUUUUUCUUGCUGAUGGCGCUUUUUUUUUUUUAGUGUUUACUUCCCAUACAAAACUUAUGUCUCCAUGUCUCCAUCCUUCAGCAAUAGGGGUAAUUCUGAAAGGUCAUUGUUUUGCAAUUGCCCUUGAAAGGAAAUUCUUGGACAUAACAACAGAUAAGAUUCUAGCCAAUGAAAGGUGAUGAGAAGGUUGCUGAGAAGUUUCUGAGAAAGGUUUCUUUAUUCUUUAACAAAUACCCUGGAAAGAGACAGGCCUUCUGCUGCUGUUCAUGGUUGUACCUGCACAGGAUGCCUGAAAAGGAGUAACCGUGGGGUCAGAAGAGGAGCCAGCGUGAGGACAAAGCAGAUACACUGAAGUACCACCUGUCACUGAAUUUUUGUGCAAGAGUAUAAACAUUCUCAUUGUUUAAUCUUUCUGUGGGAGACGCUUUACUAUGUGUAGCAAAGUCAUUCUAACUGACAUACCAUUUUCCAUUGUAUGAGAAAACUGAUGUACAGAAAGGUUAAGAAACUUGCCUGCAUUUGCAUGCAUAAUGAGGAGUGGAGAGAACAGGUUGUGCCUUCUAAUAUACAGGCAAGAUAUGUCUCUUUUAAACAGCACAUACAGACACACUCCAAAAUGACAAUUUCCAUCAUUUUUUAAAAAUUAAAUGAGACAAAGACUCUAAAACUAUUUAAAUAACAUGUACAUUACUGUCUUGGGAUUUAUUUUUGUUUCAGCUCUAUUGAGAUAUAGUUGACAAAUAAAAUGGUAUGAAUUUAAGG
This 3195-nucleotide long non-coding RNA is filed under the name Homo sapiens (human). RNAcentral's name for it is "long intergenic non-protein coding RNA 2389". The record is from RNAcentral. Lineage: Eukaryota; Metazoa; Chordata; Mammalia; Primates; Hominidae.